RNAcentral lists this ribosomal RNA (677 nucleotides) under uncultured Alphaproteobacteria bacterium. Its description in RNAcentral is "bacterial SSU rRNA". It matches the Rfam family "Bacterial small subunit ribosomal RNA", at positions 28 to 751 of the family's 1533-position model. The record is from RNAcentral. Lineage: Bacteria; Pseudomonadati; Pseudomonadota; Alphaproteobacteria.
AACGAACGCUGGCGGCAUGCCUAACACAUGCAAGUCGAACGAGACCUUCGGGUCUAGUGGCGCACGGGUGCGUAACGCGUGGGAAUCUGCCCUUGGGUUCGGAAUAACAGUUGGAAACGACUGCUAAUACCGGAUGAUGUCUUCGGACCAAAGAUUUAUCGCCCAGGGAUGAGCCCGCGUAAGAUUAGCUAGUUGGUGGGGUAAAGGCCUACCAAGGCGACGAUCUUUAGCUGGUCUGAGAGGAUGAUCAGCCACACUGGGACUGAGACACGGCCCAGACUCCUACGGGAGGCAGCAGUGGGGAAUAUUGGACAAUGGGCGAAAGCCUGAUCCAGCAAUGCCGCGUGAGUGAUGAAGGCCUUAGGGUUGUAAAGCUCUUUUACCCGGGAUGAUAAUGACAGUACCGGGAGAAUAAGCCCCGGCUAACUCCGUGCCAGCAGCCGCGGUAAUACGGAGGGGGCUAGCGUUGUUCGGAAUUACUGGGCGUAAAGCGCGCGUAGGCGGCUCUUCAAGUCAGAGGUGAAAGCCCGGUGCUCAACACCGGAAUUGCCUUUGAAACUAGGGAACUUGAAUCCAGGAGAGGUGAGUGGAAUUCCGAGUGUAGAGGUGAAAUUCGUAGAUAUUCGGAAGAACACCAGUGGCGAAGGCGGCUCACUGGACUGGUAUUGACGCUGAGG